GUCGGGUGUGAAAUUUCGGAGCUUAACUCCGAAACUGCAUUCGAUACUGCCGGGCUUGAGGACUGGAGAGGAGACUGGAAUUUACGGUGUAGCAGUGAAAUGCGUAGAGAUCGUAAGGAAGACCAGUGGCGAAGGCGGGUCUCUGGACAGUUCCUGACACUGAGGCACGAAGGCCAGGGGAGCAAACGGG
Molecule: ribosomal RNA, 190 nt
Filed under: uncultured Spartobacteria bacterium
Lineage: Bacteria; Pseudomonadati; Verrucomicrobiota; Spartobacteria
Description: partial 16S ribosomal RNA
Rfam family: Bacterial small subunit ribosomal RNA
Source: RNAcentral